Molecule: ribosomal RNA, 253 nt
Filed under: uncultured bacterium
Lineage: Bacteria
Description: partial 16S ribosomal RNA
Rfam family: Bacterial small subunit ribosomal RNA
Source: RNAcentral
UACGUAGGGUGCAAGCGUUAAUCGGAAUUACUGGGCGUAAAGCGUGCGCAGGCGGCUUUGUAAGUUAGAGGUGAAAGCCCGGGGCUCAACUCCGGAAUUGCCUUUAAGACUGCAUCGCUAGAAUUGUGGAGAGGUAAGUGGAAUUCCGAGUGUAGAGGUGAAAUUCGUAGAUAUUCGGAAGAACACCAGUGGCGAAGGCGACUUACUGGACACAUAUUGACGCUGAGGUGCGAAAGCGUGGGGAGCAAACAGG